CUGCAGCCAAUUAAGCCAACCCUGCUCCUUUCCUCAUGGGUGCUUGGUGUGCAAUAGCUGCAAACAGCAGCCUCCUUGGUAGUGUGUGCAGCCUGCUGCUAGCAUGGGACCUUGGAGACAGUC
This 123-nucleotide small nucleolar RNA is filed under the name Prolemur simus (greater bamboo lemur). Its description in RNAcentral is "Small nucleolar RNA SNORA70 (ENSPSMG00000008916.1)". It matches the Rfam family "Small nucleolar RNA SNORA70". Rfam says of the family: snoRNA U70 seems to be exclusive to mammals and is a member of the H/ACA class of snoRNA which contain H (ANANNA) and ACA box motifs. H/ACA box snoRNAs are involved in the conversion of uridines to pseudouridines (5-ribosyluracil) a constituent of structural RNAs (transfer, ribosomal, small nuclear, and small nucleolar). Lineage: Eukaryota; Metazoa; Chordata; Mammalia; Primates; Lemuridae. The record is from Rfam by way of RNAcentral.